RNAcentral lists this ribosomal RNA (253 nucleotides) under uncultured bacterium. RNAcentral describes it as "partial 16S ribosomal RNA". It matches the Rfam family "Bacterial small subunit ribosomal RNA", at positions 524 to 776 of the family's 1533-position model. The record is from RNAcentral.
UACGAAGGGUGCAAGCGUUAAUCGGAAUUACUGGGCGUAAAGCGCGCGUAGGUGGUUCAGGAAGUUGGAAGUGAAAUCCCCGGGCUCAACCUGGGAACUGCAUCCAAAACUGCUGAGCUAGAGUACGGUAGAGGGUGGUGGAAUUUCCUGUGUAGCGGUGAAAUGCGUAGAUAUAGGAAGGAACACCAGUGGCGAAGGCGACCACCUGGACUGAUACUGACACUGAGGUGCGAAAGCGUGGGGAGCAAACAGG